AUGGCUGCCACGAGAACCAUUCUCCUCGCCGUGACCGCGAUGGCCAUCCUGAGCACCGCAUCGGCGGCAAUCUACAACGUCGGCGAGCCAGGUGGUGCAUGGGACCUCAGCACCAACUACGGCACUUGGGCGUCCUCGAGGAACUUCCACCCCAACGACCAGAUCAUCUUCAAAUACUCUCCUCAGGCACACGACGUCCUCGAGGUCAGCAAGGCCGACUAUGACUCCUGCAGCACCGCCAGCCCCAUCGCCACCCUCGACUCCGGGAAUGAUGUCGUCUCCCUCACCACCACCGGCACCCGCUACUUCCUCUGCGGCUUCCCGGGCCACUGUGCCGGCGGAAUGAAGGUCAAGAUCGACGUCGUGCCAAGCUCAUCCUCUUCCUCACCGGCCCCGGCCAGCGGCCCUAGUGCAAGCAACGCUCCCCCACCGACGCCUGUCUCAGCUGCCACCUCUAUGGAGGCCACAGGGUUUGGCCUCACCAUCUUGCUUGCCGUUGCCGGUCUCAUGGCUUGA
RNAcentral lists this ribosomal RNA (516 nucleotides) under Triticum aestivum (bread wheat). Its description in RNAcentral is "partial small subunit ribosomal RNA". The record is from RNAcentral. Lineage: Eukaryota; Viridiplantae; Streptophyta; Magnoliopsida; Poales; Poaceae.